AUGGCUUUCUGGAAAAGUGGCAUUGUGAUCAUAAUUCUGUAUAUCAAUGGAUGUGAUUCUCAGGAUAAAGUUGAUCAGCACAUAAUGACUCAAUCUGCUUUUGAAGGUGAUACAGUAACCAUUGACUGCACAUAUCAGACUUCUUAUGCAGGCCAGACUCUAUUCUGGUACCAGCAGAAAGUCAACAGAGUCCCGAAAUACAUGCUGAAUAAGCUGAGUAAUACAUCUGGACACACUGAAGAAGAAUUCAAGAAAAGAUUUCAUGCAACUCUCAGCAAAACUUCAGUUCCUCUGAAAAUCAAGGAUCUGCGUGUGUCAGACUCUGCAGUGUAUUACUGUGCUCUGAGGUAUAAAGUGCCACAAGAGGGCAGUGUUCACAUUCAUGAACUACAGCAAUUAACAACAGAAGAGAAGCUAUGA
This is a non-coding RNA of Danio aesculapii, 420 nucleotides long. NCBI's taxonomy places the organism in Eukaryota, Metazoa, Chordata, Actinopteri, Cypriniformes, Danionidae. The record is from the annotation of a RefSeq genome assembly.